Molecule: non-coding RNA, 4917 nt
Organism: Equus caballus (horse)
Lineage: Eukaryota; Metazoa; Chordata; Mammalia; Perissodactyla; Equidae
Source: RefSeq, a predicted model, not a curated record
UUGGGGAGAAAAAGGAAAAAAAUAAAAUCUUAAAAAAAAAAAAAAAAAAGAAAACCAAUGUUUUUUCCAAAAGCUUAGUCCCUCUGGAUCUCCCUGACCAGAUCACGGCUCCGGGGACAACACCAUGGGCAGGACUAACUCAGUUGAGGGCCUUCCCCCACAGUAAAACGAGGGCUGAUCCCAAAGACCCACUCAGCACUUACAUCUGUAAACAGCACUAAAUAAUGCGAUGUCCUUCCCCAUGAGAGACUCGGUGUUUCUCCCACACGCCCUCCUCUAUUUCAGCCCCUGCCUCAUCGUGCUGUCUUAUCUCCCUGAGAAAGCUCAUGUUCAGUUGUCAUGUGGCCUCAGGGCCUGGCACGGGGCAGGCAUCCAAUAAAUGUUUGCUCAGUUAAUAAACUCCACCUCCCAUCUCACCACCAUUAGCUCGUAAGCACUCAUCAGUCUUUCCAGACUGAUCUCUCCAAUGACAGGCACCUGUAUCCCCAGGAGUGUUAACAGAUUACUUAGGAGCUAGCCGCUGUCAUAAUCAGCACACCUCCCAAGUACAUGCCAUGCCAACCCCACCCUACACCUAUUUCUCCUUCCCACCCUUCAACAAAACUUCCAGACCUGACUAUGUGCUAGGCACUCAUACACCGGGAAGUCAGCAACCCAGUGGCCAGGAUGGGAAGGCCCUGCUCAAGCUGGCCUGCGUCUGAGAUUCCGAGGUACCCUAGUUCCUGACUCACCCUCCUUGCCGCCCUCUCCUAACCUGAAAUGAAUCCAGAUUUAUUAUUCCUAGGCAUGUGCACCUUUGGUGUUGACCCCCUCCCUAUAAUGAAAAGUUCUAUCGUGUGCCAUACAAAAAUCCCAAGUUUGGGGAGAGAGGUGGCCCAGGACAGGAGGGAGGAAAGAGACCUGUAAGAUGGAAGGGAGCUGCCACCCCUGAGGUGAACCCACACUGGCUGGGUGGGGGUUGCCGGUUGAAGGAGGGACAAAGGAACUAUUCACCAUCCCUGUGCCCAGAAGGUCCCUGAUUCAGUGGGCAUACGUGCCAGAAGCCAGCUCUGAGGGAGAGGUGUCAGGGGCAAAAGGUCUACCAUCACACAGGUCCAUGUGCCCAGGGCUCUGAACUGGACCUUCCAUUCCUGGCCAUAAGAGAGCCCCUUCAUUUGUGAGCAGGCAGGCAAACAAGAUGACCCAAUAUUUAAGCCUGAAAAAAAAUAGUUUAGAAGUAUAGGGCUUUCUAUCAAAUGUGAAAGUCAAAUGGUAACACAGAUGCCAAAGAAAAGAAUCUAAAAAAAUUAUAAUUUUUAAUUCAAAAUACAUAUUUAGUAUCUCUCAACACAUAUACCCAAUCCAUUAGCACAAGCAUUUUUGAAUAUGCAAAAGGGUAUACGAGACGUGGCAAGGAGGAGAUGUGACAUUCUGAAGCGCUACUUAAAGUGUGACUCCACCGGCGAAAGUUCGGCAUGCGUGCAACCUUCUAAGACCAUACCUGCCUAGCAAAACGAAAUAGGAUAAGUAAAUGAAAACCAGUAAAGGGACAGCACAUUCACAGGGGCUGUGCUGGUGGCAAGGGUUUGGCAAAGACCCUGAACACCCUGCAGACUGAGCUCCCAGCCAAGCUUCCACGCCCACUAGCUCUGGACCCUGGCAAUGUGUGACACCUCUACGCCUCGUCUUCACCAGUAAGAUAAGGACAGAAGCGACACUCGUGGGGCCAUUACAAGGGUCCAACUGAGGAAUGACAGUGCACAGCAAGCACCCAAAUGACGGCCUUCAUUGUGUUUACUGCUGUUAUUACAGCAUCUCCUUGUUUUCUUUUCUGGUUGAGGACAACGCAGGAUCAAGUGGAGAAAGGAACAGGGAGUGUUUUUUCAACAGAGAUGUGCAAAUAUCUGUUCUUAUGUUUUUUCCCUAAAAUGUCCCUGGGGGGCAGGCCUCACCUCACCCCUGCUAUCUGCGUCAGAAGCGUCUACAACAAGAGGGCCCCUCUGAAUGGUCACAGAGAGAAUGCUGCAUCAAUGCAAACUGGGCCUUCACGUAGGGAGCGAAAAAGGAGCCCCACUGUCCCAGCAAAGAUGGACAGAAAGCCCCAUGGGGUCACACGCUGCUUUGGAGAAGGCAGACACCGGUCAUGAAGACGGUGGGCCCAUGGAGGUCUGGGCUUCAUUCUACACGCCCCCCAGUACAGGGCAGCGGGCUCAGUUGGAGAGGAGGCCCCUCGGCCGGCCUGACCACAGUCCAGGGCCCAGCAGUGCACUGCAGCACGUGCCAGGAAAGCAGCGUCCUCUGCACAGCGUGCCUGCCCCCCGGACAGACACGACAACGGAACAGAGAGGGAGCACUGGAGACAGAAGGACAGGGUCUAAAAAGAGAGCGUGCCAUAUGGGGAAACGCAGUCAGAAACCUGGUAGGGAGUUGGUACUUUGGUUCCGAGGCCCUUUUAUUUCACGGCUCUCUAUUCUAAAACCGAAGGCUCGCACCUGAGUGACUCUCUAGUCAGGAAAGGGGGUUUUCUCCAUGUUCUUGAGAAAAGUGAUGAAAGUAGAAAAAUUUUAAUAAGAAGCAACGAAGAUGCCAAUUUCUGGGAAACAAACUGGGAGACACUUUACCUCAUGUUCUUGUCCUUCCCAGGACACGAGGGGGCCCCAUCCAGCCCAGGGGACAGAGUCCGGUCUCCACACCCACUCACACACCAUGUGUAUGAUGCACACCUGCUUCUCCUUGGCUCUCCAGGGCACAGACCCCUCCUCAUUUCCCACGGUCUCUCCCGGCUUUCCUCCCAUUAGCAGCCUUUUAACAAACUGUCUCUAUUUGCUAAUUAUUCUCCCACUAAUCUGUUGUGAGUUGUUCUACAUUUUCGGUUCUAAAUACUUGGAAGCUUAUGAUAUACAAAAACGAAUCCAAGUUUAUUUUGGGUGGCUGGCACCACAAUCACUGUAGAAGUUUCCAUAUUACGUGGGCAAUACAUUUGGUAGGUCACUUCUAUUGUGAACAAUCUUGUAAGGCAGAAUUCUAGAGAAUUCUAAAUUCUGAUACGUCAUACUUGAGUCAUAUCACAACAGAGACUGAAGCAGUAGGCCCGCGGUGGCAGGAACCACUCUGAGAACCCAGAGUCCCUGCUUCAAUGCCGUGAAGAGGAGGAGGCAACAAGAGCUUCUUCAAAUGGCAGCUCAGUUUCGUCACUUCAGAAAGGAGAAUUCCUGAAGUUAUUUUCUCACAUAACCUGAAGCAGUAACUACUGCAGGAACUCACCAUCCCAAGCUGGAAUCUCCAAAGCAGAGAACACAAGGCAUGGAGAGAAAGUAUUGGCACUCCUUUUCUGAGGCACACCAGUGACAUGAGAAGGCAGAGGCAAGAGGUCCCUGGGACCACCACCAACCCUGCCCGCAGUGUCCUGGGACUACCAGACAUGUUACUGUGGAAGUCAGCUCCCCAGUUUUCCAUCUACCUCCUUCAGAUCUGCACACACGGCGGGUAGGUCUGUAAAGUAACCCUCAUUACUGCUAGAGCAGUUUCUUUUUCAACUUUAUUGAGGUAUACUUAACAUACUGAAAGUUGCACAUAUUUAAUGUAUACAAUUUGAUGAGUUAGGACACCUUGAUAUCAUCACCACUAACAAGGUAAUAAACAUGUCCCUCACCUCCAAAAGAUGUGCCCGCUCCAGGUCUAGUUAGCUAAAAGCUACACACACAGUAAGGAUAUACUCUUUGUGUCUCUGGAGGCGGGAGGCCAAGGAAAAACACUUUACCUUUCCUAAUUUUGGACCCGCACAUGCAGUAACAGUCUCAUUUACAGCUGUGCGGCCUGUUUCCUAGUAUAUGGCUCUGUCCCAUCUAUGUCAUCUACGUGUCUGGUCCAGGGACUCUGAAAGCAGGACAAAGAGCACUGCGAGGUGAGUGCAUCCAUAAUCCAGCCCGCAGACAUGAGUCACGGGUCACCCUCCACCCUGUGCCGUAUUUGGCAAGUAAAGUAACCUCUCCUGGCUCAUUUCUUUCUUUUAUAAAAUGGGAGUUGGGAGGCGGAGAAUACCCACAUCACCAGAUCUGAAAGAGAAUUUGUGAAAAUUCCUUUGUAACCUGUAAGGUACAACUCAGAGAACAGUGGAGAAAUAACUGGAAUGUUAUGAAUUCAGCUUCUGCAAUCUGUCAGAGGGAAAAGACGGUGGGGGGGAUUUGCUUUUCUGUAUGUUUAAUUUUUUUCUCCAGCUUUCUAGAAGCCACACUGCUAGGGCACGUCAGCUAAGGUAGAAAAGAAAAAUGAUUGACCAAACUUUGAUCAUCACCUCAAGGAUCAGAAAAUGAUUUCAUUGACUACAUAAAGAAACGUUACAUCACAAUUCUAUGAAGCUCUGCUCUGCACACACGUGCUAUGGCCAUGGAUCACGGGGACAACCACACCAUACAUCUUACAGGAGGUGUAUACGGUCCUCUUGCCUGUACAAGUAACUUCUCCUUCAAAGGUCUGUUUCGUAAGUUGGGAAUCACCAAUAAAUACCAGGUGCCUUUGAACACGGUUCAGGAACAGCACAAGUGGAAGUUCGGGGCCUGUUCCCGGCCUCAACUCGGCCCUGAGCUGACGAGCUGACCCUGGGACUUCAGAAGGUACUGAGGCCCUCCAGGGGAUUUGGGUUCCUGUCUCCUGCCCCUCCAACCCUUCCCAAAGCCUUCCAUCAUGCUGCUUUCCUUAAGUUUCCAAAAGGGACUUGUGUCCAAUCUAUACUUGGCUGCUGGAAAUUUUGCUAGGGGAAAAAUAAAUAAAUAAAAUUCAUGGUCCAAUAAGAGUAAAAGGCUUUGGGUCAGGAAGAUGUCAGCUCACAGCCUGCUCUGCUCUGAUAAGCACCGGGCUUUGGCCCAGCUGUUUAAUCUCUCAGAGUGUUCAGUGGUUCCUGGUUCAAGGUAAGCACUCAGAUAACAGGUUGUUACAUGU